Molecule: ribosomal RNA, 465 nt
Filed under: Vreelandella stevensii
Lineage: Bacteria; Pseudomonadati; Pseudomonadota; Gammaproteobacteria; Oceanospirillales; Halomonadaceae
Description: partial 16S ribosomal RNA
Rfam family: Bacterial small subunit ribosomal RNA
Source: RNAcentral
CCUACGGGGGGCAGCAGUGGGGAAUAUUGCACAAUGGGGGGAACCCUGAUCCAGCCAUGCCGCGUGUGUGAAGAAGGCCCUCGGGUUGUAAAGCACUUUCAGUGAGGAAGAACGCCUGGUGGUUAAUACCCAUCAGGAAAGACAUCACUCACAGAAGAAGCACCGGCUAACUCCGUGCCAGCAGCCGCGGUAAUACGGAGGGUGCGAGCGUUGAUCGGAAUUACUGGGCGUAAAGCGCGCGUAGGUGGCUUGAUAAGCCGGUUGUGAAAGCCCCGGGCUCAACCUGGGAACGGCAUCCGGAACUGUCAAGCUAGAGUGCAGGAGAGGAAGGUAGAAUUCCCGGUGUAGCGGUGAAAUGCGUAGAGAUCGGGAGGAAUACCAGUGGCGAAGGCGGCCUUCUGGACUGACACUGACGCUGAGGUGCGAAAGCGUGGGUAGCAAACAGGAUUAGAUACCCUAGUAGUC